GGGGCUGACAGGUUUCUACAUAUUGAAUACCGUAUUUCUCGUUAGAGUAUAUAAAAAUAAUAGCUGCAAGACACAAUAUAGUUGUUUUUUCUAAUAAAAAAAUUUAUGCUUAGUUUUUGAUUUAUUUGAAUAUCAGAUAUAAUUUAUAUUUAAUAUAUUUGAUAUAUUCCAAAAAUAUGCUCUUAGUUUACUAAGCAACUAUCUACUAGGUAUUUGUAUACUAAGAUAAGUAAAAAAAAUACACUUUUCUUUAAAAAAUGAAAUCAAAUAUUUCGUUUUUAUAAAAUAAUAUUAUUUAAUUUCAAUAUGGACGUGGGUUCAAUUCCCUCCAGCUCCA
RNAcentral lists this non-coding RNA (337 nucleotides) under Caloglossa intermedia. Lineage: Eukaryota; Rhodophyta; Florideophyceae; Ceramiales; Delesseriaceae. The record is from RNAcentral.